CCUACGGGUGGCAGCAGUGGGGAAUAUUGGUCAAUGGGGGGAACCCUGAUCCAGCGACGCCGCGUGAGUGAUGAAGUAUCUCGGUAUGUUAAGCCUCAUUUGUAGGGAAGAAAAUGACGGUACGUGUCUCAGAAGCCCCGGCUUACUAAGUGCAAGCAGCCGCGGGGAUCCGGAGGGGGCCAGCGUUAUUCGGGUUUACUGGGUGUAAAGGGGGCGUAGGGGGUGCAGCAAGUCUGAUGGGAAAGGUCGGGGGCCAACCCCGGGACUGCAGUGGAAACUGUUGGACUUGAGUAGAGGAGAAGUAAGCGGAAUGCCUGGUGUAGCGGUGAAAUGCGUAGAUAUUAGGAAGAACUCCGAUUGCGAAGGCAGCUUACUGGACUGUAACUGACGUUGAGGCUCGAAAGCGUGGGGAGCAAACAGGAUUAGAUACCCCAGUAGUC
This 440-nucleotide ribosomal RNA is filed under the name uncultured bacterium. RNAcentral's name for it is "partial 16S ribosomal RNA". It matches the Rfam family "Bacterial small subunit ribosomal RNA", at positions 338 to 795 of the family's 1533-position model. The record is from RNAcentral.